RNAcentral lists this unclassified non-coding RNA (395 nucleotides) under soil metagenome. RNAcentral's name for it is "partial contains 5.8S ribosomal RNA, internal transcribed spacer 2, and large subunit ribosomal RNA". The stretch from base 1 to 120 matches the Rfam family "5.8S ribosomal RNA", at positions 35 to 154 of the family's 154-position model. The record is from RNAcentral.
GAUGAAGAACGUAGCGAAUUGCGAUAUGUAAUGUGAAUUGCAGAAUUCAGUGAAUCAUCGAAUCUUUGAACGCAUAUUGCACCCACUGGCAUUCCAGAGGGUAUGCCUGUUUGAGUGUCAUUAAUCUCUCAACUUUGAGUAAAUGGUUUUCUGUUUGCUCUAUAGUUGGAUUAUGAAGAGUGCUCGCUCUAUUGGCUGGCUUCUUUUAAAUGCAUUAGCGAUUCUAAUGUAGAGUUGGCUUUAGCUUAGUAAAUAUUUAUCUAUGCUGCUGCCCUUAAUAUUGGAAAGCUUUCAAAUUGUCCUGUCGGACUGUCUUUAUAGACAUUUAUUUGAACUUUUGACCUCAAAUCAGGUAGGACUACCCGCUGAACUUAAGCAUAUCAAUAAGCGGAGGA